UACGUAGGGGGCGAGCGUUGUCCGGAAUCAUUGGGCGUAAAGCGCGUGUAGGCGGCUUGAUAAGUCCGGUGUGAAAUCUUGGGGCUCAACCCCAAGCCUGCAUCGGAUACUGUCUCGCUCGAGUUCGGGAGGGGAGAGCGGAAUUCCUAGUGUAGCGGUGAAAUGCGCAGAUAUUAGGAAGAACACCGGUGGCGAAGGCGGCUCUCUGGAACGAUACUGACGCUGAGACGCGAAAGCGUGGGGAGCGAACAGG
Molecule: ribosomal RNA, 253 nt
Filed under: uncultured bacterium
Lineage: Bacteria
Description: partial 16S ribosomal RNA
Rfam family: Bacterial small subunit ribosomal RNA
Source: RNAcentral